Molecule: ribosomal RNA, 253 nt
Filed under: uncultured bacterium
Lineage: Bacteria
Description: partial 16S ribosomal RNA
Rfam family: Bacterial small subunit ribosomal RNA
Source: RNAcentral
UACGUAGGGCGCGAGCGUUGUCCGGAUUUAUUGGGCGUAAAGAGCUCGUAGGCGGCCUGUUGCGUCCGCUGUGAAAUCCCGGGGCUUAACCCCGGGCGUGCAGUGGAUACGGGCAGGCUGGAGGCAGGCAGGGGAGAACGGAAUUCCCGGUGUAGCGGUGAAAUGCGCAGAUAUCGGGAGGAACACCGGUGGCGAAGGCGGUUCUCUGGGCCUGUACUGACGCUGAGGAGCGAAAGCGUGGGGAGCGAACAGG